Molecule: ribosomal RNA, 1273 nt
Filed under: metagenome
Description: bacterial LSU rRNA
Rfam family: Bacterial large subunit ribosomal RNA
Source: RNAcentral
CGAAAUAGCUCCCACUUAUAGACCGUACCCGAAACCGACACUGGUGGACUGGUAGAGCGUACCAAGGCGCUUGAGAGAACUAUGCUGAAGGAACUCGGCAAAUUGCACGCGUAACUUCGGAAGAAGCGUGACCCAUAUGUACGCAAGUAUAUGUGGGUGGCACAGACCAGGGGGUAGCGACUGUUUAUCAAAAACACAGGGCUCUGCGAAGUCGCAAGACGACGUAUAGGGUCUGACGCCAGCCCGGUGCUGGAAGGUUAAGAGGAGGGGUGCAAGCUCUGAAUCGAAGCCCCAGUAAACGGCGGCCGUAACAAUAACGGUCCUAAGGUAGCGAAAUUCCUUGUCGGGUAAGUUCCGACCUGCACGAAUGGCGUAACGACUUCCCCGCUGUCUCCAGCAUAGACUCAGUGAAAUUGAAUUCCCCGUGAAGAUGCGGGGUUCCUGCGGUUAGACGGAAAGACCCCGUGCACCUUUACUAUAGCUUUACAUUGGCAUUCGUAGUGGCAUGUGUAGGAUAGGUGGUAGGCUUUGAAGCCAGGGCGCCAGCCUUGGUGGAGCCAACCUUGAAAUACCACCCUUAUCUCUAUGGAUGUCUAACCGCGGCCCGUUAUCCGGGUCCGGGACAAUGUAUGGUGGGUAGUUUGACUGGGGCGGUCGCCUCCUAAAGAGUAACGGAGGCGCGCGAUGGUGGGCUCAGACCGGUCGGAAAUCGGUCGUCGAGUGCAAUGGCAUAAGCCCGCCUGACUGCGAGACUGACAAGUCGAGCAGAGACGAAAGUCGGUCAUAGUGAUCCGGUGGUCCCGCGUGGAAGGGCCAUCGCUCAACGGAUAAAAGGUACGCCGGGGAUAACAGGCUGAUGACCCCCAAGAGUCCAUAUCGACGGGGUUGUUUGGCACCUCGAUGUCGACUCAUCGCAUCCUGGGGCUGGAGCAGGUCCCAAGGGUAUGGCUGUUCGCCAUUUAAAGCGGUACGUGAGUUGGGUUCAGAACGUCGUGAGACAGUUCGGUCCCUAUCUGCCGUGGGUGUAGGAAUAUUGAAAGGAUCUGUCCCUAGUACGAGAGGACCGGGAUGGACGUAUCUCUGGUGGACCUGUUGUGGCGCCAGCCGCAUAGCAGGGUAGCUAUAUACGGACGGGAUAACCGCUGAAGGCAUCUAAGCGGGAAACCCACCUUAAAACGAGUAUUCCCUGAGAGCCGUGGAAGACGACCACGUUGAUAGGCCGGGUAUGGAAGUGCGGCAACGCAUGAAGUUUACCGGUACUAAUAGCUCGAAU